Molecule: ribosomal RNA, 253 nt
Filed under: uncultured bacterium
Lineage: Bacteria
Description: partial 16S ribosomal RNA
Rfam family: Bacterial small subunit ribosomal RNA
Source: RNAcentral
UACGGAGGGUGCAAGCGUUAAUCGGAAUUACUGGGCGUAAAGCGUGCGCAGGCGGUCUUUUAAGUCAGAUGUGAAAUCCCCGGGCUUAACCUGGGAACUGCGUUUGAAACUGGAAGGCUUGAGUGUGGCAGAGGGGGGUGGAAUUCCACGUGUAGCAGUGAAAUGCGUAGAGAUGUGGAGGAACACCGAUGGCGAAGGCAGCCCCCUGGGCUAACACUGACGCUCAUGCACGAAAGCGUGGGGAGCAAACAGG